AUCCUUUUGUAGUUCAUCAAGAUGGUUGGGUUUUCACGUGCAUGCGUGAGAUGUGCCUCCCACAAGUCUUGUUAUGAGGUCAGCACAUUACCCAUCUGACA
Otolemur garnettii (small-eared galago) is the source of this 101-nucleotide small nucleolar RNA. The record is from Ensembl. Lineage: Eukaryota; Metazoa; Chordata; Mammalia; Primates; Galagidae.